This 72-nucleotide transfer RNA is filed under the name Enterococcus faecium. RNAcentral describes it as "tRNA-Glu". It matches the Rfam family "tRNA". Rfam says of the family: Transfer RNA (tRNA) molecules are approximately 80 nucleotides in length. Their secondary structure includes four short double-helical elements and three loops (D, anti-codon, and T loops). RNAcentral also lists the same sequence under 8 other names. Lineage: Bacteria; Bacillati; Bacillota; Bacilli; Lactobacillales; Enterococcaceae. The record is from RNAcentral.
GGCCCGUUGGUCAAGCGGUUAAGACACCGCCCUUUCACGGCGGUAACAUGGGUUCGAAUCCCGUACGGGUCA